This 2923-nucleotide ribosomal RNA is filed under the name Campylobacter coli. Its description in RNAcentral is "23S ribosomal RNA". It matches the Rfam family "Bacterial large subunit ribosomal RNA". The record is from RNAcentral. Lineage: Bacteria; Pseudomonadati; Campylobacterota; Epsilonproteobacteria; Campylobacterales; Campylobacteraceae.
AAAAAAGGUAAGCUACUAAGAGCGAAUGGUGGAUGCCUUGACUGGUAAAGGCGAUGAAGGACGUACUAGACUGCGAUAAGCUACGGGGAGCUGUCAAGAAGCUUUGAUCCGUAGAUUUCCGAAUGGGGCAACCCAAUGUAUAGAGAUAUACAUUACCUAUAUAGGAGCGAACGAGGGGAAUUGAAACAUCUUAGUACCCUCAGGAAAAGAAAUCAAUAGAGAUUGCGUCAGUAGCGGCGAGCGAAAGCGCAAGAGGGCAAACCCAGUGCUUGCACUGGGGGUUGUAGGACUGCAAUGUGCAAGAGGUGAGUUUAGCAGAACAUUCUGGAAAGUAUAGCCAUAGAGGGUGAUAGUCCCGUAUGCGAAAAACAAACCUUAGCUAGCAGUAUCCUGAGUAGGGCGGGACACGAGAAAUCCUGUCUGAAGCUGGGUCGACCACGAUCCAACCCUAAAUACUAAUACCAGAUCGAUAGUGCACAAGUACCGUGAGGGAAAGGUGAAAAGAACUGAGGUGAUCAGAGUGAAAUAGAACCUGAAACCAUUUGCUUACAAUCAUUCAGAGCCCUAUGUAGCAAUACAGGGUGAUGGACUGCCUUUUGCAUAAUGAGCCUGCGAGUUGUGGUGUCUGGCAAGGUUAAGCAAACGCGAAGCCGUAGCGAAAGCGAGUCUGAAUAGGGCGCUUAGUCAGAUGCUGCAGACCCGAAACGAAGUGAUCUAUCCAUGAGCAAGUUGAAGCUAGUGUAAGAACUAGUGGAGGACUGAACCCAUAGGCGUUGAAAAGCCCCGGGAUGACUUGUGGAUAGGGGUGAAAGGCCAAUCAAACUUCGUGAUAGCUGGUUCUCUCCGAAAUAUAUUUAGGUAUAGCGUUGUGUCGUAAUAUAAGGGGGUAGAGCACUGAAUGGGCUAGGGCAUACACCAAUGUACCAAACCCUAUCAAACUCCGAAUACCUUAUAUGUAAUCACAGCAGUCAGGCGGCGAGUGAUAAAAUCCGUCGUCAAGAGGGAAACAACCCAGACUACCAGCUAAGGUCCCUAAAUCUUACUUAAGUGGAAAACGAUGUGAAGUUACUUAAACAACCAGGAGGUUGGCUUAGAAGCAGCCAUCCUUUAAAGAAAGCGUAAUAGCUCACUGGUCUAGUGAUUUUGCGCGGAAAAUAUAACGGGGCUAAAGUAAGUACCGAAGCUGUAGACUUGAUUUUAUCAAGUGGUAGGAGAGCGUUCUAUUUGCGCCGAAGGUAUACCGGUAAGGAGUGCUGGAGCGAAUAGAAGUGAGCAUGCAGGCAUGAGUAGCGAUAAUUAAUGUGAGAAUCAUUAACGCCGUAAACCCAAGGUUUCCUACGCGAUGCUCGUCAUCGUAGGGUUAGUCGGGUCCUAAGUCGAGUCCGAAAGGGGUAGACGAUGGCAAAUUGGUUAAUAUUCCAAUACCAACAUUAGUGUGCGAUGGAAGGACGCUUAGGGCUAAGGGGGCUAGCGGAUGGAAGUGCUAGUCUAAGGUCGUAGGAGGUUAUACAGGCAAAUCCGUAUAACAAUACUCCGAGAACUGAAAGGCUUUUUGAAGUCUUCGGAUGGAUAGAAGAACCCCUGAUGCCAUCGAGCCAAGAAAAGUUUCUAAGUUUAGCUAAUGUUGCCCGUACCGUAAACCGACACAGGUGGGUGGGAUGAGUAUUCUAAGGCGCGUGGAAGAACUCUCUUUAAGGAACUCUGCAAAAUAGCACCGUAUCUUCGGUAUAAGGUGUGGUUCGCUUCGUAUUAGGAUUUACUCCGAAAGCGAAGAAACUUACAACAAAGAGUCCCUCCCGACUGUUUACCAAAAACACAGCACUCUGCUAACUCGUAAGAGGAUGUAUAGGGUGUGACGCCUGCCCGGUGCUCGAAGGUUAAUUGAUGGGGUUAGCAUUAGCGAAGCUCUUGAUCGAAGCCCGAGUAAACGGCGGCCGUAACUAUAACGGUCCUAAGGUAGCGAAAUUCCUUGUCGGUUAAAUACCGACCUGCAUGAAUGGCGUAACGAGAUGGGAGCUGUCUCAAAGAGGGAUCCAGUGAAAUUGUAGUGGAGGUGAAAAUUCCUCCUACCCGCGGCAAGACGGAAAGACCCCGUGGACCUUUACUACAGCUUGACACUGCUAUUUGGAUAAGAAUGUGCAGGAUAGGUGGGAGGCUUUGAGUAUAUGACGCCAGUUGUAUAUGAGCCAUUGUUGAGAUACCACUCUUUCUUAUUUGGGUAGCUAACCAGCUUGAGUUAUCCUCAAGUGGGACAAUGUCUGGUGGGUAGUUUGACUGGGGCGGUCGCCUCCCAAAUAAUAACGGAGGCUUACAAAGGUUGGCUCAGAACGGUUGGAAAUCGUUCGUAGAGUAUAAAGGUAUAAGCCAGCUUAACUGCAAGACAUACAAGUCAAGCAGAGACGAAAGUCGGUCUUAGUGAUCCGGUGGUUCUGUGUGGAAGGGCCAUCGCUCAAAGGAUAAAAGGUACCCCGGGGAUAACAGGCUGAUCUCCCCCAAGAGCUCACAUCGACGGGGAGGUUUGGCACCUCGAUGUCGGCUCAUCGCAUCCUGGGGCUGGAGCAGGUCCCAAGGGUAUGGCUGUUCGCCAUUUAAAGCGGUACGCGAGCUGGGUUCAGAACGUCGUGAGACAGUUCGGUCCCUAUCUGCCGUGGGCGUAAGAAGAUUGAAGAGAUUUGACCCUAGUACGAGAGGACCGGGUUGAACAAACCACUGGUGUAGCUGUUGUUCUGCCAAGAGCAUCGCAGCGUAGCUAAGUUUGGAAAGGAUAAACGCUGAAAGCAUCUAAGCGUGAAGCCAACUCUAAGAUGAAUCUUCUCUAAGCUCUCUAGAAGACUACUAGUUUGAUAGGCUGGGUGUGUAAUGGAUGAAAGUCCUUUAGCUGACCAGUACUAAUAGAGCGUUUGGCUUAUCUUUAAUAAAGCAU